This 253-nucleotide ribosomal RNA is filed under the name uncultured bacterium. RNAcentral describes it as "partial 16S ribosomal RNA". It matches the Rfam family "Bacterial small subunit ribosomal RNA", at positions 524 to 776 of the family's 1533-position model. The record is from RNAcentral.
UACGUAGGGUGCAAGCGUUAAUCGGAAUUACUGGGCGUAAAGGGCUCGUAGGCGGCCAACUAAGUCAGACGUGAAAUCCCCAGGCUUAACCUGGGAACUGCGUCUGAUACUGGAUGGCUUGAAUUCGGGAGAGGGAUGCAGAAUUCCAGGUGUAGCGGUGAAAUGCGUAGAUAUCUGGAGGAAUACCGGUGGCGAAGGCGGCAUCCUGGACCGAUAUUGACACUGAUGAGCGAAAGCUAGGGGAGCAAACGGG